RNAcentral lists this ribosomal RNA (253 nucleotides) under uncultured bacterium. RNAcentral's name for it is "partial 16S ribosomal RNA". It matches the Rfam family "Bacterial small subunit ribosomal RNA", at positions 524 to 776 of the family's 1533-position model. The record is from RNAcentral.
UACGUAGGCAGCAAGCGUUGUUCGGAGUUACUGGGCGUAAAGGAUGCGUAGGCGGACAUUUAAGUCAGAUGUGAAAUACCCGAGCUUAACUUGGGUGCUGCAUUUGAAACUGGGUGUCUAGAGUGCAGGAGAGGUAAGUGGAAUUCCUAGUGUAGCGGUGAAAUGCGUAGAGAUUAGGAAGAACACCAGUGGCGAAGGCGACUUACUGGACUGUAACUGACGCUGAGGCAUGAAAGCGUGGGGAGCAAACAGG